Molecule: ribosomal RNA, 1508 nt
Filed under: Vibrio rumoiensis
Lineage: Bacteria; Pseudomonadati; Pseudomonadota; Gammaproteobacteria; Vibrionales; Vibrionaceae
Description: bacterial SSU rRNA
Rfam family: Bacterial small subunit ribosomal RNA
Source: RNAcentral
AGAGUUUGAUCAUGGCUCAGAUUGAACGCUGGCGGCAGGCCUAACACAUGCAAGUCGAGCGGAAACGAGAAGUAGCUUGCUACUUCGGCGUCGAGCGGCGGACGGGUGAGUAAUGCAUAGGAAGUUGCCCAGUAGAGGGGAUAACCAUUGGAAACGAUGGCUAAUACCGCAUAACCUCUUCGGAGCAAAGCGGGGACCUUCGGCCUCGCGCUACUGGAUACGCCUAUGUGGAUUAGCUAGUUGGUGAGGUAAUGGCUCACCAAGGCGACGAUCCCUAGCUGGUCUGAGAGGAUGAUCAGCCACACUGGGACUGAGACACGGCCCAGACUCCUACGGAGGCAGUGGGGAAUAUUGCACAAUGGGCGAAAGCCUGAUGCAGCCAUGCCGCGUGUAUGAAGAAGGCCUUCGGGUUGUAAAGUACUUUCAGUUGUGAGGAAGGUUUCGUAGUUAAUAACUGCGUUGCUUGACGUUAGCAACAGAAGAAGCACCGGCUAACUCCGUGCCAGCAGCCGCGGUAAUACGGAGGGUGCGAGCGUUAAUCGGAAUUACUGGGCGUAAAGCGCAUGCAGGUGGUUUGUUAAGUCAGAUGUGAAAGCCCGGGCUCAACCUCGGAAGGUCAUUUGAAACUGGCAAACUAGAGUACUGUAGAGGGGGUAGAAUUUCAGGUGUAGCGGUGAAAUGCGUAGAGAUCUGAAGGAAUACCAGUGGCGAAGGCGGCCCCUGACAGAUACUGACACUCAGAUGCGAAAGCGUGGGGAGCAAACAGGAUUAGAUACCCUGGUAGUCCACGCCGUAAACGAUGUCUACUUGGAGGUUGUGGCCUUGAGCCGUGGCUUUCGGAGCUAACGCGUUAAGUAGACCGCCUGGGGAGUACGGUCGCAAGAUUAAAACUCAAAUGAAUUGACGGGGCCCGCACAAGCGGUGGAGCAUGUGGUUUAAUUCGAUGCAACGCGAAGAACCUUACCUACUCUUGACAUCCAGAGAACUUUCCAGAGAUGGAUUGGUGCCUUCGGGAACUCUGAGACAGGUGCUGCAUGGCUGUCGUCAGCUCGUGUUGUGAAAUGUUGGGUUAAGUCCCGCAACGAGCGCAACCCUUAUCCUUGUUUGCCAGCGAGUAAUGUCGGGAACUCCAGGAGACUGCCGGUGAUAAACCGGAGGAAGGUGGGGACGACGUCAAGUCAUCAUGGCCCUACGAGUAGGGCUACACACGUGCUACAAUGGCGCAUACAGAGGGCAGCAAGCUAGCGAUAGUGAGCGAAUCCCAAAAAGUGCGUCGUAGUCCGGAUUGGAGUCUGCAACUCGACUCCAUGAAGUCGGAAUCGCUAGUAAUCGUGGAUCAGAAUGCCACGGUGAAUACGUUCCCGGGCCUUGUACACACCGCCCGUCACACCAUGGGAGUGGGCUGCAAAAGAAGUAGGUAGUUUAACCUUCGGGAGGACGCUUACCACUUUGUGGUUCAUGACUGGGGUGAAGUCGUAACAAGGUAGCCCUAGGGGAACCUGGGGCUG